Gallus gallus (chicken) is the source of this 1271-nucleotide long non-coding RNA. The record is from Ensembl. Lineage: Eukaryota; Metazoa; Chordata; Aves; Galliformes; Phasianidae.
AAAAAUCUCAAAUUGAGGUAUCUAUACCAAAUAAUAGAAAACCAUUUAAUAUAUUUCCUUGACAGGAUAACUAUGCUAUAAGAUAAAGAAUAAUCAAUAGAUGGUGUGUCUCUGUACUUCAGAAAUACCACUGAGAUUCUGUGUACGUUGCCCUGAAAGUAAUGCCUCCUGUUUAUUUCCAUGCAGGGAAAUUCCUUCCUUUUCCUGGAUGGCAAUGCUGGGCCUUAUGCAUCCCAGGGUACAGUUGGCCCUUUGGGCUUCCAGGGCAUACUGCUGGCUCAGGUCCAACUUGCCUCAUUUCAAUCAAAAAACUUCAGAAAGAUGUAUGCCUGCUGCCCAGCUGGUUUGCAUAACAAACUUUUUGGUAAGUUCUAUUCUCACUCCGAAUGUAACUGAGAGACCUUUAAAACUCCUGGGUUAAGACACAAAGGCUAUCCCAAAUUUGUUGUGUAAGCAAGUGGAGAAGCAAAACUACCUAUGAAAAGUUGACAAACCUGCCAAAUCUAUGGAGAAAAUAGACUUAAUGGCUAAAAGAACAGCCUUCCUGUAUUUCUGGAAUCAAGGUCCACUACUGGGAUAUUUAUUUUUUUAAACCUGUAGUUCCUCUCUGUCCAGAAUAAAUAGCAAGUUAUUUCAGAAAGGACAGAAACUGUAUCACCAGCCUGUUAAAAGAUUUAAGAGUCCUCAAAAGGAGUUGGCUUUCCUUUCAUCAAAGCGUUUAUGCUACUCCUCUGUUACAUUAACAUAUUAUAUAAAAUACUAGAACAAUAUUUUUUCUUGGAAAACUAGAGCAGCAACACUGUGAGAACAAGUAUACAAGACAGUCUACUGAAAGAGAUUCCAGGACAGAAAUGGGAACAUAGUGAUUUUAACACUGAUGUUGCAUUUGAACUAUGGGAUGUGUCUGCUUCGUGUUGCACUAUGACUUGCCCAGACCAGACAAGCCAAUAGAGCAUUUUGUUCCUUCCCUCUCAGAUGCAAAGGAUUCUGUGUUGUUAGAUGCCCUGCAGUGCUCAAGAAAUUAUUAAUGCAUAUACACUGGACAGGACCAGGACAAUCUGCCAGAUUCAUAAUAUUUAGUUUUUCAGUAUAUUGAAAGAUUAUUUCCUCAACCCAGGACCCAUGAAUUGGUUUUAGUUGUGAUUUUCUUAAUGCUUCUUUAAUUCACUACCAUUUCACAGGUUUUUUUCAGAUACUUUUGCUUACUUUCAAACCCGUAUGGAUUAAUUUCCAGUUUAUACAUUCACAUUCAGAAGCCAAACAGGCUAUGU